UGGAGAAGGCAGACCUUUGUGUAGAAGAUGACACUGCUGGUUCUCCUCCUGUGCCUGGUGACAGCCCCCCAGGGUGUCUGGUCCCAGGUGCAGCUGCAGGAGACGGGUCCAGGAACAGUGAAGCCCUCACAGACCCUCUCCCUCACCUGCACUGUCUCUGGUUACUCCAUCACUACUGAUUACUACUGGAGCUGGAUCCGCCAGCCCCCUGGAAAGGGGCUGGAGUGGAUCGGGAGCAUAAGUUAUACUGGAAGCACUUACUACAGCACAUCCCUGAAAAGCCGGGCCACCAUCACCAGGGACACGUCCAAGAACCAGUUCUCCCUGUAG
Non-coding RNA from Pteronotus mesoamericanus, 330 nucleotides. The record is from the annotation of a RefSeq genome assembly. NCBI's taxonomy places the organism in Eukaryota, Metazoa, Chordata, Mammalia, Chiroptera, Mormoopidae.